RNAcentral lists this ribosomal RNA (496 nucleotides) under uncultured bacterium. Its description in RNAcentral is "partial 16S ribosomal RNA". It matches the Rfam family "Bacterial small subunit ribosomal RNA", at positions 30 to 523 of the family's 1533-position model. The record is from RNAcentral.
AUUGAACGCUGGCGGAAUGCUUUACACAUGCAAGUCGAACGGUAGAGGGGGCAACCCCUCGAGAGUGGCGAACGGGUGAGUAAUAUAUCGGAACGUGCCCAGUCGUGGGGGAUAACGUAGCGAAAGUUACGCUAAUACCGCAUACGAUCUAAGGAUGAAAGCGGGGGAUCGCAAGACCUCGCGCGAUUGGAGUGGCCGAUAUCAGAUUAGGUAGUUGGUGGGGUAAAGGCUCACCAAGCCAACGAUCUGUAGCUGGUCUGAGAGGACGACCAGCCACACUGGGACUGAGAAACGGUCCAGACUCCAACGGGAGGCAGAAGUGGGGAAUUUUGGACAAUGGACGCAAGUCUGAUCCAGCCAUUCCGCGUGCAGGAUGAAGGCCCUCGGGUUGUAAACUGCUUUUGUACGGAACGAAAAGGUCUCUCUUAAUACGGGGGACUCAUGACGGUACCGUAAGAAUAAGCACCGGCUAACUACGUGCCAGCCGCCGCCGUAA